Molecule: non-coding RNA, 32 nt
Filed under: Mus musculus (house mouse)
Lineage: Eukaryota; Metazoa; Chordata; Mammalia; Rodentia; Muridae
Source: RNAcentral
UGGUAAAAUGGUACCUGGCUUACGUCAUCACU